AGGGAUGACGUCAGAGAGAGCCUCAAACCGUCAGCGUUGGCCACCGCCUUGCACUGCGCCCAUGCUUGGAGCCCCGAGCCCCAGGCCAGGCCCUGCCCGCCCGCUCAGCCCUGCUCGCCAUGCUCCCGCCCUUGCUGCUGGGGCGGCCGGCAGGGAGCCCACCUGAGGCGCAGAGGGAGGCCAUUGCCGGGCGCUGCCACCAUGAGGAGUCCCGAGUCCUGGGGAGACAGGUCCUGUGCAGGGAACAGAGGGACGUGUCACUCACGCCUGCCGGGGCCAGAGCUCGACUCCGAGGGACCCCCAGUCACCCCAGUCCUCACCCGGUCUCCUCGCCACGGUUUAAAAUAGCCACACAUGUUCAAAAAUAGAGCAAGAAUGGGCACGUUUCUGAAGACUAUUUAAUGACUGGGACGGCUCAGGAUCCAAGUGGAACGAAAAAGUCUCAUGAUUCUCAUUGAAAAUUGAAUUAUCUCUGGGUGCCGGGAUUCCGGGUGAUUUUUUUUUUUUCUGAAUCCUUUUCAAAAUUGUCCAACGAGUCUGCAAUGAGCAUGGAUUUACCCUUCUCAGAGAAGAAAAUACUUAUUUAAAGCCAAAA
Molecule: long non-coding RNA, 595 nt
Organism: Homo sapiens (human)
Lineage: Eukaryota; Metazoa; Chordata; Mammalia; Primates; Hominidae
Source: Ensembl